This 403-nucleotide ribosomal RNA is filed under the name uncultured bacterium. RNAcentral's name for it is "partial 16S ribosomal RNA". It matches the Rfam family "Bacterial small subunit ribosomal RNA", at positions 30 to 526 of the family's 1533-position model. The record is from RNAcentral.
AUUGAACGCUGGCGGCAGGCCUAACACAUGCAAGUCGAGCGACCGGCGGACGGGUGAGUAAUGUAUGGGGACUGCCCGAUAGAGGGGGAUAACUACUGGAAACGGUAGCUACUCCCGCUUACUAUCGGAUAACCCAUAUGGGAUUAGCUAGUAGGUGAGGUAACGGCUCACCUAGGGGACGAUCCCUAGCUGGACUGAGAGGUUGAUCAGCCACACUGGGACUGAGACACGGCCCAGACUCCUACGGAGGCAGCAGUGGGGAAUAUUGGACAAUGGGCGCAAGCCUGAUGCAGCCAUGCCGCGUAUAUGAAGAAGGCCCUAGGGUUGUAAAGUACUUUCAGUCGGGAGGCGUUCCCGACAGAAGAAGCACCGGCUAACUCCGUGCCAGCAGCCGCGGUAAUAC